GCGGAGGGAUCAUUAAAGAGUUCUAUAACUCCCUAAAACCCAUGUGAACAUACCUUACGUUGCCUCGGCAGGUCGCGCCUACCCCGUAACGUCCUACCCUGUAGGCACCUACCCGGUAGGCGCGGGUAAGCCUGCCGACGCCACGAAACUCUGUUUAGUAUUGAAUUCUGAACCUAUAACUAAAUAAGUUAAAACUUUCAACAACGGAUCUCUUGGUUCUGGCAUCGAUAAGAACGCAGCGAAAUGCGAUAAGUAAUGUGAAUUGCAGAAUUCAGUGAAUCAUCGAAUCUUUGAACGCACAUUGCGCCCAUUAGUAUUCUAGUGGGUAUGCCUGUUCGAGCGUCAUUUCAACCCUUAAGCCUCUGUUGCUUAGUGUUGGGAGCCUACGGUAUAGUAGCUCCUCAAAGUUAGUGGCAGAGUCGGUUCACACUCUAGACGUAGUAGAUUUUAUUUCGCCUAUUAGUUGGACUGGCCUCUUGCCAUAAAACCCCCUAAACUUUUUUAAAGGUUGACCUCGGAUCAGGUAGGAAUACCCGCUGAACUUAAGCAU
Molecule: ribosomal RNA, 550 nt
Filed under: Xylaria sp. IP-94
Lineage: Eukaryota; Fungi; Ascomycota; Sordariomycetes; Xylariales; Xylariaceae
Description: eukaryotic LSU rRNA
Rfam family: 5.8S ribosomal RNA (bases 193-345)
Source: RNAcentral